Molecule: non-coding RNA, 54 nt
Organism: Salmo salar (Atlantic salmon)
Lineage: Eukaryota; Metazoa; Chordata; Actinopteri; Salmoniformes; Salmonidae
Source: Rfam
AAUGCACCAAUUUGUAUGUCACUCUGGAUAAGAGCGUCUGCUAAAUGACGUAAA